UAGACUUGACAUCCCGAGCAAAGCUAUAGAGAUAUAGUGGAGGUUAUCUCGGUGACAGGUGCUGCAUGGCUGUCGUCAGCUCGUGUCGUGAGAUGUUGGGUUAAGUCCCGCAACGAGCGCAACCCUUAUCUUUAGUUGCUACCAUUUAGUUGAGAACUCUAAAGAGACUGCCGGUGAUAAACCGGAGGAAGGCGUGGACGACGUCAAGUCAGUAUGGCCCUUACAUCCAGGGCUGCACACGUGCUACAAUGGUCGAUACAAAAGGAAGCUAUACCGCGAGGUGGCGCAAAUCCCCAAAAUCGGCCCCAGUUCGGAUAGGAGUCUGCAACUCGACUCCUUGAAGUUGGAAUCGCUAGUAAAGGUAUAUCAGCUACGAUACCUUGAAUACGUUCCGCGGGACCU
Molecule: ribosomal RNA, 402 nt
Filed under: uncultured bacterium
Lineage: Bacteria
Description: bacterial SSU rRNA
Rfam family: Bacterial small subunit ribosomal RNA
Source: RNAcentral